GAUGGCGAAGGCAGGUCUCUGGGCUGUAACUGACGCUGAGAAGCGAAAGCAUGGGGAGCGAACAGGAUUAGAUACCCUGGUAGUCCAUGCCGUAAACGUUGGGCACUAGGUGUGGGGGACAUUCCACGUUUUCCGCGCCGUAGCUAACGCAUUAAGUGCCCCGCCUGGGGAGUACGGCCGCAAGGCUAAAACUCAAAGAAAUUGACGGGGGCCCGCACAAGCGGCGGAGCAUGCGGAUUAAUUCGAUGCAACGCGAAGAACCUUACCAAGGCUUGACAUAUACUGGACCGCAUCAGAGAUGGUGUUUCCCUUCGGGGCUGGUAUACAGGUGGUGCAUGGUUGUCGUCAGCUCGUGUCGUGAGAUGUUGGGUUAAGUCCCGCAACGAGCGCAACCCUCGUUCUAUGUUGCCAGCACGUUAUGGUGGGGACUCAUAGGAGACUGCCGGGGUCAACUCGGAGGAAGGUGGGGAUGACGUCAAAUCAUCAUGCCCCUUAUGUCUUGGGCUUCACGCAUGCUACAAUGGCCGGUACAGAGGGUUGCGAUACUGUGAGGUGGAGCUAAUCCCUAAAAGCCGGUCUCAGUUCGGAUUGGGGUCUGCAACUCGACCCCAUGAAGUCGGAGUCGCUAGUAAUCGCAGAUCAGCAACGCUGCGGUGAAUACGUUCCCGGGCCUUGUACACACCGCCCGUCAAGUCACGAAAGUUGGUAACACCCAAAGCCGGUGGCCUAACCUUUUUGGAGGGAGCCGUCUAAGGUGGGAUUGGCGAUUGGGACUAAGUCGUAACAAGGUAGCCGUACCGGAAGG
RNAcentral lists this ribosomal RNA (805 nucleotides) under uncultured Rothia sp. RNAcentral describes it as "bacterial SSU rRNA". It matches the Rfam family "Bacterial small subunit ribosomal RNA", at positions 711 to 1512 of the family's 1533-position model. The record is from RNAcentral. Lineage: Bacteria; Bacillati; Actinomycetota; Actinomycetes; Micrococcales; Micrococcaceae.